Molecule: ribosomal RNA, 710 nt
Filed under: uncultured bacterium
Lineage: Bacteria
Description: bacterial SSU rRNA
Rfam family: Bacterial small subunit ribosomal RNA
Source: RNAcentral
ACACAUGCAGUCGAGCGGCAGCACAGAGAAACUUGUUUCUCGGGUGGCGAGCGGCGGACGGGUGAGUAAUGCCUGGGAAAUUGCCCUGAUGUGGGGGAUAACCAUUGGAAACGAUGGCUAAUACCACAUAAUAGCUUCGGCUCAAAGAGGGGGACCUUCGGGCCUCUCGCGUCAGGAUAUGCCCAGGUGGGAUUAGCUAGUUGGUGAGGUAAUGGCUCACCAAGGCGACGAUCCCUAGCUGGUCUGAGAGGAUGAUCAGCCACACUGGAACUGAGACACGGUCCAGACUCCUACGGGAGGCAGCAGUGGGGAAUAUUGCACAAUGGGCGCAAGCCUGAUGCAGCCAUGCCGCGUGUGUGAAGAAGGCCUUCGGGUUGUAAAGCACUUUCAGUCGUGAGGAAGGUGGUGUUGUUAAUAGCAACAUCAUUUGACGUUAGCGACAGAAGAAGCACCGGCUAACUCCGUGCCAGCAGCCGCGGUAAUACGGAGGGUGCGAGCGUUAAUCGGAAUUACUGGGCGUAAAGCGCAUGCAGGUGGUUUGUUAAGUCAGAUGUGAAAGCCCGGGGCUCAACCUCGGAAUAGCAUUUGAAACUGGCAAGCUAGAGUACUGUAGAGGGGGGUAGAAUUUCAUGUGUAGCGGUGAAAUGCGUAGAGAUCUGAAGGAAUACCGGUGGCGAAUGCGGCCCCCUGGACAGAUACUGACACUCAGA